Molecule: long non-coding RNA, 228 nt
Filed under: Setaria viridis
Lineage: Eukaryota; Viridiplantae; Streptophyta; Magnoliopsida; Poales; Poaceae
Description: long non-coding RNA (SVIR_LNC008635)
Source: RNAcentral
CGGGUGGGACAAAAACGAGAUGGAAGUGGGUGGGACAACUAUUCAGCCAUUGGAUUGUAGUUGCACACAUAUGUCAACACACUUGUGGCCGAAGCAAGAUUCAGUGGUGUACCUUCAGCAAGACACCAUGUACUUUACCUCUCCUUUCCCGUCAUCCAAAGUCGACCUAAAGGUUUCCGUGUUUCCUAAUUGUGGCGAAUAGCUAAAGGCUUAUCCUUUUUAGCAACG